UGAGUACGAGCUGCUACGGCAGCGAAGUGGGUGAUGUCAAGCUUCCAAGAAAAGCCCUAUACCCGUUAAGGCAUGACGGCCUGUACCCGAAACCGACACAGGUGGGGUGGUAGAGAAUACCGAGGGGCGCGAGAUAACUCUCUCUAAGGAACUCGGCAAAAUGGCCCCGUAACUUCGGGAGAAGGGGCGCCACCGCAAGGUGGUCGCAGUGAAGAGGCCCAGGCGACUGUUUACCAAAAACACAGGUCUCCGCUAAGUCGCAAGACGAUGUAUGGGGGCUGACGCCUGCCCAGUGCCGGAAGGUUAAGGAAGCUGGUCAGCGCAAGCGAAGCUGGCGACUGAAGCCCCGGUGAACGGCGGCCGUAACUAUAACGGUCCUAAGGUAGCGAAAUUCCUUGUCGGGUAAGUUCCGACCCGCACGAAAGGCGUAACGAUCUGGGCGCUGUCUCGGAGAGAGGCUCGGCGAAAUAGAAUUGUCUGUGAAGAUGCGGACUACGUGCACCCGGACAGAAAGACCCUAUGAAGCUUUACUGUAGCUUGGUAUUGUGCCCGGGCUCUGAAUGCGCAGGAUAGGUGGGAGGCUUUGAUCCAUUGCUUGCGGGUGAUGGUGAGCCAACGGUGAGAUACCACUCUUUCAGAGCUAGGGUUCUAACGGUCACCCGUUAUCCGGGGACCGGACAGUAUCAGGUGGGCAGUUUGACUGGGGCGGUCGCCUCCUAAAGGGUAACGGAGGCGCGCAAAGGUUCCCUCAGGCUGGUUGGAAAUCAGCCGACGAGUGUAAAGGCAGAAGGGAGCUUGACUGUGAGACCUACAAGUCGAACAGGGACGAAAGUCGGCCUUAGUGAUCCGACGGUUCUGAGUGGAAGGGCCGUCGCUCAACGGAUAAAAGUUACUCUAGGAUAACAGGCUGAUCUCCCCCAAGAGUUCACAUCGACGGGGAGGUUUGGCACCUCGAUGUCGGCUCAUCGCAACCUGGGGCUGAAGUCGGUCCCAAGGGUUGGGCUGUUCGCCCAUUAAAGCGGUACGCGAGCUGGGUUCAGAACGUCGUGAGACAGUUCGGUCCAUAUCCGGUGCAUGCGCAGGAACAUUGAGAGGAUUUCUCCCUAGUACGAGAGGACCGGGAGGAACGCACCUCUGGUGUACCAGUUAUCGUGCCAACGGUAAACGCUGGGUAGCCAUGUGCGGAGCGGAUAACCGCUGAAAGCAUCUAAGUGGGAAGCCCACCUCAAGAUGAGUGUUCCCAUGGCAUAAGCCAGUAAGGUCACGGGAAGAACACCCGUUGAUAGGCUCUACGUGGAAGCGUGGCAACACGUGAAGCGGAGGAGUACUAAUAGACCGAGGGCUUGAC
RNAcentral lists this ribosomal RNA (1348 nucleotides) under metagenome. RNAcentral describes it as "bacterial LSU rRNA". It matches the Rfam family "Bacterial large subunit ribosomal RNA", at positions 1564 to 2925 of the family's 2925-position model. The record is from RNAcentral.